This 543-nucleotide small RNA is filed under the name Pongo abelii (Sumatran orangutan). Its description in RNAcentral is "processed transcript". Lineage: Eukaryota; Metazoa; Chordata; Mammalia; Primates; Hominidae. The record is from RNAcentral.
AUAGAGAGAUGACAUCUAAGCUUCUUUCUGACCUCUGUGGGACAGUAAUGAGCACAAGUGAUGUGGAAAAAUCAUUUGAUAAAUUGUUGAAAGAUCUACCUGAAUUAGCAUUGGAUACUCCUAGAGCACCACAGUUGGUGGGCCAGUUUAUUGCUAGAGCUGUUGGAGAUGGAAUUUUAUGUAAUACCUAUAUUGAUAGUUACAAAGGAACUGUAGAUUGUGUGCAGGCUAGAGCUGCUCUGGAUAAGGCUACCGUGCUUCUGAGUAUGUCUAAAGGUGGAAAGCGUAAAGAUAGUGUGUGGGGCUCUGGAGGUGGUCAGCAGUCUGUCAAUCACCUUGUUAAAGAGGUAAUGAUUGGGUAUUGUUUUUAACUUAAUUUAUAUGUAUUCCUCUGAGUGAAAUAAAUUGUGGCUACUAGCUGGUAUUUUUAUGGACAAAAAUUAAGUUCGGUCUUACAGCUGCAAUUGGAAAAUGAAAUAAUUUUUUAUAUGUGGCUUUAUAACCUUUUAUUAUAAAUUAUAUGAUUAAAAAAUGAGUGUUAAA